CCAACGACCUAAGAUAUAUGCCCAAACAACCUCUAAAUACAGGAUAAGCAUUUUGAGGGUGCUUGGGUGUAAAUGC
Molecule: transfer RNA, 76 nt
Filed under: Shewanella putrefaciens
Lineage: Bacteria; Pseudomonadati; Pseudomonadota; Gammaproteobacteria; Alteromonadales; Shewanellaceae
Description: tRNA-His
Source: RNAcentral